AUUGAACGCUGGCGGCAGGCCUAACACAUGCAAGUCGAGCGGAGCGGCGGACGGGUGAGUAAUGCCUAGGAAUAUGCCUGGUAGUGGGGGAUAACGUCCGGAAACGGGAGCUAAUACCGCAUACUAUCAGAUGAGCCUAGGUCGGAUUAGAGAUUUGGUGGGGGAAAGGCCUACCAAGGCGACGAUCCGUAGCUGGGCUGAGAGGAUGAUCGGUCACACUGGAACUGAGACACGGUCCAUACUCCUACGGUAGGCCGCAGUGGGGAAUAUUGGACAAUGGGCGCAAGCCUGAUCCAGCCAUGCCGCGUGUGUGAAGAAGGUCUUCGGAUUGUAAAGCACUUUCAGUUGGGAGGCGUUACCAACAGAAUAAGCACCGGCUAACUUCGUGCCAGCAGCCGCGGUAAUUC
RNAcentral lists this ribosomal RNA (407 nucleotides) under uncultured bacterium. RNAcentral describes it as "partial 16S ribosomal RNA". It matches the Rfam family "Bacterial small subunit ribosomal RNA", at positions 30 to 526 of the family's 1533-position model. The record is from RNAcentral.